UACGAAGGGGGCUAGCGUUGUUCGGAAUUAUUGGGCGUAAAGCGCGCGUAGGCGGUUUGAUAAGCCGGGUGUGAAACCUCCAAGCUCAACUUGGAGCGGCCACUCGGAACUGUCAUGACUUGAGUCAGGUAGGGGAACACGGAAUUCCAGGUGUAGCGGUGAAAUGCUUAGAUAUCUGGAGGAACACCAGUGGCGAAGGCGGUGUUCUGGGCCUGUACUGACGCUGAUGCGCGAAAGCGUGGGGAGCGAACAGG
Molecule: ribosomal RNA, 254 nt
Filed under: uncultured bacterium
Lineage: Bacteria
Description: partial 16S ribosomal RNA
Rfam family: Bacterial small subunit ribosomal RNA
Source: RNAcentral